This 87-nucleotide transfer RNA is filed under the name Polymorphospora rubra. RNAcentral's name for it is "tRNA-Leu". It matches the Rfam family "tRNA". From Rfam's summary of the family: Transfer RNA (tRNA) molecules are approximately 80 nucleotides in length. Their secondary structure includes four short double-helical elements and three loops (D, anti-codon, and T loops). Lineage: Bacteria; Bacillati; Actinomycetota; Actinomycetes; Micromonosporales; Micromonosporaceae. The record is from RNAcentral. RNAcentral also lists the same sequence under 3 other names.
GCCGGGAUGGAGGAAUCGGCAGACUCGGAUGCCUCAAAAGCAUCUGCCCGAAAGGGCGUGCGGGUUCAAGUCCCGCUCCCGGCACCA